This 379-nucleotide unclassified non-coding RNA is filed under the name fungal sp. RNAcentral describes it as "partial internal transcribed spacer region". The stretch from base 1 to 46 matches the Rfam family "Eukaryotic small subunit ribosomal RNA", at positions 1786 to 1831 of the family's 1831-position model. The record is from RNAcentral. Lineage: Eukaryota; Fungi.
AAGUCGUAACAAGGUUUCCGUAGGUGAACCUGCGGAAGGAUCAUUACAACGUAUCCACGUACCAAACUCUCGAACUGUUCCCAACGGUGAAACACUUGUGGAUGAAGUUAAUGACUGGCUGUCUUUCGCUGAUGGAGUUCUCUGACUUUUGUCUGAGGACUGAAAGGCAUUCAGUUGCCAGAGACUCGUCUCUGGGACUUCGUUUGCUCCGUUGCGGUUUUACCGUCAGCGCUGUUUUACCAUUAUUAACCCUUUGAAUUUCUGAACUGAACUUGAAAGCCUCGCAGCAGUCCUCGCUGGCUUCGGUCACGGACUUCGCUUGGUUUUUCACAUUUUACGAAACAAAGAACAACUCUUAGCAACGGAUAUCUUGGUUCUC